GCCGAGGUGGCGGAAUUGGUAGACGCAAGGGACUUAAAAUCCCUCGGGCACCCUUGCCCAUACCGGUUCGAUUCCGGUCCUCGGCACCA
RNAcentral lists this transfer RNA (89 nucleotides) under Candidatus Methylomirabilota bacterium. Its description in RNAcentral is "candidate division NC10 bacterium (hot springs metagenome) tRNA-Leu". It matches the Rfam family "tRNA". From Rfam's summary of the family: Transfer RNA (tRNA) molecules are approximately 80 nucleotides in length. Their secondary structure includes four short double-helical elements and three loops (D, anti-codon, and T loops). Lineage: Bacteria; Methylomirabilota (SeqCode). The record is from RNAcentral.